GAAAGGGACUAUACUAGUUGUGGGCCACCUCGAAUAAUACAACUCACCUAGUCCCAGAAUCAUCUGUGUUGCUACGCCCAGUAGGCCACUAAUAACACAUGAUUCUGUGCAACAAAAAUACACAGAAAUAUAUUAGAGUACAAAAAACAACAUGAACUUAGUAAGUAUCCCGUCUAAUCUCGAAGAAGUAGAGACGAGAGGUUGACUUCGACACUUUCUAUGGGUGCAAUAACGUAAUGUCAAUAAUACAUUAAAUCGUGGACUUUUAUAAACAUGAUUUUUAAUCUAAUAGAAGGAAACAAGUAAAUAAUUAUUUCUUUUAUAGUAAAUUAUUAAAUUCUUUUUUAAUUAUUUAUCCAAAUAGUCUCAAGCAAUGAAGAGGCAAUAAUAACUUUAAUAAGUUCAAGGCAGCAAUGCAAGCAUGCGCAAAUUAUGCCGAGGCAUAUGGCCCAAUCUAACAGAAAAUAAAAUAUGCACUACCGAGGGUCGAAUGGCACGAACCACAGAUGCAUCUAUUUAAUCUGUCGAGUCGUUCGGCCCAAUCCAAAAAUAAACGCAUAGACAGCCAAUCAAGAAGUCCACACGAAGUAAUUAUCCAAUGAAAACAUAUCCUCCUUCAAUCAUUUAAGAAACAUAAAGUUUUAUCUGUUUGGAAAUUUGUUUACUAAUUCAAUGUGAUUUAAGCAAUUUAAGCUAUCAAUAGGUUCACAGAUAAUCCAAGUAUAGCAUGCGUUUGGGUCCUAAUUACCCGCAUAAUAGCAUAAUAGUAGCUACACACGGAUUCUCGUCACCUCGUGUGUGCGUAGCCCCCACAAUUAGGAGCAUAUAACCAAUUAUUUUAUUUAUGAGGACAAUUCCCUCUUACAAGGUCAGAAAAGAGACCCACUUCGCUUCGAAGAUCCUUAACCGGUAUUCCACGCCCUUCUGAAGACUCAAAUUAAUGCACAACGCUUCAAAACUAGUCAAUAGUUAUGCAAAUCCAUUAAUAUACGAUAAACUACUCGUAUUAAUCCAAUUAAUAACAAUUCCUAACCCCGACCGGAAAGUUAAAAAAAUUUCCCUCGAGCCCACGCGCCUGGAAUCCGAAAUUUUUUGAAAAUAAAGUUUACCCAUAGCCUCGCGAAUUCAAAUAUAUAAUUUUUUCAAAAUUCCAUACCCAAUAUCGUGGUCAAAAUCCAUAGCCCUGCGAUCGCAUAGGCCAGCUCUGCUGCCUCUCUAAGUCCUUCUGCGCGAUCACAAAACCAACCCUGCUAUCGCAUAAGGCCCAGCCUUCCUCCUCUGGGAUCACGUAGGCCAAAUUCCAGCUCCCUCAACUCUUGCUCUAUGCAAUCGCAGAGCCUCUCUCAAGCCUAUUGCACUUAUGCCAGAAAACCAGCAAUCCUCACAUGACGAAAAUCGAUCCGUUAAGCAUCUAAAACACGUCUGACGCCAUCGGGACCUCAAUCAAACCUACCAACCAGUCCUAAAAUACUUUACGGACUUGCUCGAGGCCUCAAAUCAUAUUAAACAAUGCUAAAACAAUGAAUUACACCCCAAUUCAAGCUUUAUGAACUUUGAAAUUUCGAACUUCUACUUUCGAUGUUCAAAUAUAUCAAAUCACAUCAGAUUGACUUUAAAUUUUACAUGCAAGCCGUAUUCGACAUUAAGGACCACCCCAACUUCCGGAACCGGAUUCCGACCAUGAUAUCAAAAAGCCCACUUAUGGUCAAACUUCUCAAAAACAUUCAAAUUUCUAUCUUUAGCCAAAUGACUUACGAACCUCCGAAUUUACUUCUGAUCGUGCUCCCAACUCUAGAAUCACCAUGCGGAGCUAUUCACGGACUCAAAAUCCCAAACGAACAUCGAUAACAUUGAAAUGCACCUCAAGCCAAACUCAUAGAAUUUCUUCUAAAAUGCUAACUUCCACAAUAGGUGUCAAUACGCUCCCUGGUUAACCAAAACACGAACCAGGCAUAUGCCCAAGUUCGAAAUCAUCAUAUGAACAUGCUGGAACCUUCAAAUCCCAAUUCCGAGGUCAUUUACUCAAAAAUUCAAUCAUCAUAUGAGAAUUCUCUUCCCAAAUCAACUCCGAACAUCCCGAAAUUCAAUUCUGAAUCGCAUACAAGCAUAACCCUUGAAAUGAAGCUGCUCAUGGCCUCAGACUGUUGCACGACAUGCUAGGGUCUCAAAAUGACUGAUCGGGUCACUGCAUUCUCUCGUAAUUAAACGUACGUUCGUCCUUGAACGUAAUGAGAACUAUACUGAAGUAGUCUGAAAACACUAUUUAACACCCCAUGCACCUUCUUGUGCUACCACAACUCAGUUGAGCAAAUAAGCUCAAUCAAUUUUGAAGAUUUUUCCUUUUACUCAAGCUAAUAAGCCUUAGAGCCUAAUUCCAACACCCAAAAUUCCAUGUCCGACUUGUUUCCAACAUACGCUCACCAUAUCAAUAACUAUACGCAGGCCCAAAAACGACUGCAUACCCUAGCUGAAUUCAUAACAUGCACCACUUUACUCACAGGACCACAAUAAUAUUCUUUGAUUAAAUUAAUCAAAAUUCCACGAAUCUAAUGCCCUCAUUGCACCUCAUGACCUACAUAGGUUGUCACGACCCGAAUUUUUCAUCCUUGAGAGUCGUGAUGGAGCCUACUAAUAAGAACUAGACAAGUCAAACCUUACUACUUACUUCAUUUUCAUAUUACCUCCUUUUAACAAUCAUAAGGAAAUAACAUAAUAAAAGCGGAACUUAAAUAAUUAAGCAAAAAUUAACAAUUUCAUAUCUGAAGUCUACGUCCAUUACAACAUUUAAAACCUCAAUACCCCAAACCUGCUGUCAUAGUGUCACAGACUAUCUAAGAUUUACUACUCACAAGGUCUGAAGAAAUAAUAGUACAUUGUUUCUGGAUAGAGGGAAAUGAAACAUGAAAUAAAGAUAGAGGAAGACGCCGGGGCCUGAGAUCGCUUGCUGUCACACCUUCUUUUUACACACAUCCCGAAAGAGUAGUAUAAGGAGAUUUUUCAAAUUUAGGUGAUAUUAUUCAAAAUGGUAUUAAUUAUUCAGUUUAGAGUCGCCACUUGGGAUGAUUUGUUUUCUGGUGUCCAAACUCACCAGUUUGUUUUAAAUCUCAAAUCGAGGAAGAUUUCGACUUUCCAUUUGAAGUCCGCGAACCAGAAAUUCUGAAUAAGGAAUUCUAUUAACCCAAGGUAAGGUGUUAGGCACCCCCGAAUUUUGUGGUUCUAACACGGUCGCUUAGUGAUUAUUACUUGGCUUAAUUGUUUAAUUACUCAUUUUUUAAGACCUACGUGCAAUUAAUUUAAUUGCUUUUAGUUACUUGAUUUAUUCGUAAUUAAAGAAUUGAGUUAUGCAUACAUAUACUCUUUUCUUUUGGCGCAUCAAAGAUCAUGUCACGCGAACUUGUCCACAAUUAAUAACGCUUUGUUUAUUUUAUAAAGAAAAAUUUUUGUUGAAAUUGCGCAAACGCAUCCCUCGAGUCUUUUAAAAAAUAUUAAUUUCCAAUUAUGCUACGCGAACGUCUACAUAAUCGCAAUACUAACCCAAAUCGGGCCUAAAGCAUAUUACGAUUAUUAAAGGCAUUUCUAAAUUUAUUCCUUUAUAUGAAGGUCAAGAGUUAUUUAAUCGCUUAUGGCAUACCUCAAAUUUUCUAUAAAAUUAAGCUAGUUUUGUGAGGGCUAUGGGCUUAAGGGUUUUAUUUGGCAUGGCACACCCCACUUAUUCUUAUAAGGUCUCUUAAUUUAGUCUUUGCUUUUUUAACCUGAAGCUAUCUUUGGCUUUCCUGCAUUGUGUUCCACUAACCUUUUGAUUGAAGACAAGCACAAGAACCAAAUAUAUUUGUAUAUUUCACGUAAUAUCCAAACACAUCCAAGGAAAGGAAGUAAGGAAGAAAAACUAUGCCAUGUUCAUUAUAAAGAUUUAUGUGUACAGAUUUACCAAUAUCUAAGCUUCUCAAAAAAUGAAGCUAAAGGCAAAAACAAACACAGAUUUACCAACAUUUGAUGCAUUUCAUAUCCUGAAGAUAUCAUAAUAUCAAUACUUAUAUUGGCAUAGUGACUAUAUAAUCCAUUUUGAAAAGAUUACAACAGCUUUUACAAAUUGGUUAAAUCAAAUCAAAUUAGCAAAAGAUGCCACUAAAGAAAUAUAUAUAACUACCCAAAUCGUUACUCCAGCACCGGGGUAACUAAAGAACUUGAACCGCUAACGUUUGGAAACUUUCUACCACAAAAAUUUCAAGCAACCGAUACUUUGCAUGAGAUGAAAUUCUGAAUGGAGAGCCUAAAUUGAAGGUGAGUGAUGCAGCUCCUGCAAGCUUGACUGUAAGAAGAUUGCAGUUCUCCGAUAUCGCCAUAUCUGAGCAUUCCUCUCCUACUGUUGCUGAGGUCGUCAGGGGCAAUCGCAAUAUGGGUAAGGCUCUAUCGUUUAUUCCACCUUCUGAUAGGGAUGGGAAAAAAGUAGUUAAAAUCAGUGAAGCUGAAUUGAAUCCUCUAUCGAAGUACUGGAGUGCUUUAUUAAUUUGAUACAUCAUUGGUGAUAAUCCCACUGUGAAAACUUUGGAGAAUUUUGUUAUGCAUGUCUGGAAUUUUGUGGCUAAACCACAGAUUCUGCUACACUCUGAACAUCGGAGUACUGGAGUACUUCAUUAAUUGGAUACAUCAUUGGUGAUAAUCCCACUGUGGAAACUUUGGAGAAUUUUGUUAUGCAUGUCUAAAAUUUUGUGGCUAAACCACAUACUCUACUACACUCUGAUGGUUAUUGUAUCUUUCGCUUCAAUAAUGUUGAGGAUAAGAACUUAGUUCUCCAAUCUGGACCAUACUCGUACAGGAACAAGCCUAUGGUGCUGAAACCUUGGGAUGUUGAUUUCUAUUGUAUCUUUCGCUUCAAUAAUGUUGAGGAUAAGAACUUAGUUCUCCAAUCUGGACCAUACUCGUACAGGAACAAGCCUAUGGUUCUGAAACCUUGGGAUAUUGAUUUCUCUUUUCAAAAUGCUGUUCUUAGUACUGUACCUGUUUGGGUUCGUUUCCCUGGCCUACAAGUGGGCUACUGGUCUCCUGAAAUCUUAAGCAAACUUGCCAGUGCAGUGGGUAAGCCUCUAUACACAGAUAAAUUUACAUCUCAUUUUGAGAAGAUAUCAUUUGCCAGAGUACUGGUUGAAGUACAUGCUGCUUUUCCUUUGCCUGAGAAAAUUGAAAUUGAAACUCCUUUUGGGCUGAAGAUACAAGAGAUUGAGUAUGACUGGAAGCCUGUAUUUUGCAAUCACUGCUUGAAGUUUUGUCAUGACUCUCUUGACUGUUGGUACAAUGGUCAUAAUGAAGGGGUUCAGGAGAUGCAGGAGCAAGGAAAGGAAAUAAGACAAAAGCCUCGAAUCAAGAAACCAGGAAAGUCUACAAGGCAGGAAUAUAUACCUAAAGCUAUGGGAAUGAACUAGAUGACUCUGGCAAUAAGGAAAGUAUUGAUAGUGGUGAUAAUGAGGUUUUGGUUGUCCAAGAUAAGGUCAAGGCUGUUGCUGGAUUUCUUGAUGAUGGUAGGAGGGGACAACAGCAGGAUCCUGGUCCUUUUUGGAGUUUGCUGCCUAAUGAUUCAUGAUUAUAGUUACCUGGAACAUUAGGGGGUUUAAUAAAGCCCACAAACAGAAAGAACUGAAAAACUUUCUGACUAGAAAUAAAGUUGAUGUCCUGGGAUGCCUUGAAACUAGAGUUAAGGAACAUAAAGCAUAUAGGAUUGUUGAUAAGAUUGCUAAAGGGUGGAAGGUCCAAUGUAAUUAUACCAAAGCUGUCCAUGGGAGAAUAUGGCUAAUCUGGAAGCCUCACAUUCAGAUUCAUAUCUCCUGUGUGCCUGACCAGUCUGCAAUUCUGAGGAAGCAGUUGUGGGAUGAUCUGAAGAAUAUGGCUAAUCUGGAAGCCUAACAUUCCGAUUCAUAUCUCCUGUGUGACUGAUCAUUUUAUUCAUAGCUUAUUAGAAGAUCCUAUUAGUAAGAUCAGAGUACAACUGAGUGUCAUUUAUGCUCACAAUUCUGCAAUUCUGAGGAAGCAGUUGUGGGAUGAUCUGAGACUAGUAAAUGUUCCCAGUCAAGAUGCAUGGUUAAUCAGUGGUGACUUUAAUUCUGUCUUAUACUCUGAUAAUAGGAUUGGCUCUCCUGUCACAGAUGCUGAAGUUAGAGGGUAUAAAGAUUCCGAGUCAAGAUGCAUGGUUAAUCAGUGGUGACUUUAAUUCUGUCUUAUACUCUGAUAAUAGGAUUGGCUCUCCUGUCAUAGAUGAUGAAGUUAGAGGGUUUAAAGAGGUUAUUUCUGAUCUUCAGCUUACCUCUCUCAGAUCAAAAGGGUGGAAGUAUUCAUGGAGAAACAAGCAGGUCUAUAGCAAAAUUUAUUGGGCACUUGGUAAUUUUCAGUGGAUUCAGCAGUAUGGACACUUAGAAGCUGAUUUUAUGAAUCCCUUAGUCUCUGACCACUCCCCUAUUCUCAUACAGUUUGGGUGUCAAAAGUUAUUGCAUCCUAAACCUUUCAGAUUCUAUAAUGCUAUUAUGGAGGAUCCUCAGUUUUCUUCUAUUUUGCAGCAUGUAUGGUCUCAGAAGUGUGAAGGUUCACCUUUGCAACAGAUAUGGUAUAAAUUGAAGAACUUGAAGCAGCACUUAAAAGAACUGAACAGUCAUAUGGCUUCCUAUAAACAGAAGCUAAUCCAUGCUAGAGAAUCACUGGAUAUUAUACAGAAUCAGCUUCUACAUUAUCCAUUUUCAGAGCAGCUAUAUAAAGAGGAGAAAACAACUCUUAAUGACAUUGAGAAAUGAAGCAAUGUUGAAGAGCAAGUUAUGAGGCAGAAAUCAAAGCCAUGCUGGAUAGAUUGUGGAGAUGCCAAUACAAAAUAUUUUCAUGCUCAGUGGAAGAUCAGAACUAGUCAGAAUAAUAUUACUUCUAUAUACACUGAUGCAGGUAUAAAGCUGAUAGAUCUAGUGGCUGUGGAGCAGGAAUUCAUUGAGAUUUUCAAGUCAUUAAUGGGUGAAUGUGCUGAUGAAUUGCCUUGUAUUAACACUGCUAUUGUUAAGGAAGGACACUGUCUGAACUUAUCACAUCAAAGGUCACUUAUUCAGGAUGUUACUCUGGAAGAAGUCACUGAAGCUAUCAAAGAUAUGCCUAAAGACAAAGCACCAGGUGUAAAUGGCUUCCCUGUGGAGUUCUUUUCUAGCAACUGGGAGAUUGUCAAGGAAGAUGUAUUUGCUGCUACAAAGGAUUUCUUUACUACUUGUAAGCUGCCUUACAUGGUCAACACUACUGCCAUNNNNNNNNNNNNNNNNNNNNNNNNNNNNNNNNNNNNNNNNNNNNNNNNNNNNNNNNNNNNNNNNNNNNNNNNNNNNNNNNNNNNNNNNNNNNNNNNNNNNNNNNNNNNNNNNNNNNNNNNNNNNNNNNNNNNNNNNNNNNNNNNNNNNNNNNNNNNNNNNNNNNNNNNNNNNNNNNNNNNNNNNNNNNNNNNNNNNNNNNNNNNNNNNNNNNNNNNNNNNNNNNNNNNNNNNNNNNNNNNNNNNNNNNNNNNNNNNNNNNNNNNNNNNNNNNNNNNNNNNNNNNNNNNNNNNNNNNNNNNNNNNNNNNNNNNNNNNNNNNNNNNNNNNNNNNNNNNNNNNNNNNNNNNNNNAAUUGGACAAUGGCUUGUGUCUCUUCUGUGACUUACUCACUAGUGAUGAAUGGUGGUCUCACUAAGCCUUUCACUGCUAGAAGGGGUAUUCGACAAGGUGAUCCCAUGUCACCUUACUUGUUUGUCCUAGCUAUGGAAUACUUGAAUAGGCUGUUGGCUCAGUUGCAUAGAAAUGGAGAUUUCAACUUCCAUCCAAGAUGCAGGAAGCUGAACUGUGCCCAUAUUUGUUUUGUUGAUGAUCUUCUACUAUUCUGUCGAGCUGAUAUUAUAUCUAUCCAGAUUCUGUAUGAUGCUUUCCUUACAUUCUCUGUAGCUUCUGGACUGUAUGCAAACAACACUAAGAGUGUUGUUUAUCUGGCUGGGGUUCAUCAGACUGUCAAAGAGGCCAUACUAGAGUAUUUGGGAUUCAUUGAGGGUCAACUACCUUUCAAAUAUUUACGGAUACCUCUCCGCUCUAAGAAGCUUGCCAUCCACCAUUAUUUGCCACUGAUAGAGAGGAUAACUGAAAAAAUCACCUGCUGGUCUGCCAAAUUAUUAUCUUACGCAGGUAGGAGUCAACUAAUCAAAACUGUGAUAUUUGGAAUCCAAACUUAUUGGGCACAAAUAUUCAUCUUACCAAAGAAAGUUCUGAAAAUUAUAGAAGUUGUCUGCAGAUCUUAUCAGUGGACUGGAAGUGCAACAAUAUCCAAAAGAGCUCUGGUAGCAUGGGAAAGGAUCUGUAGACCUAUCACUCCUAGGCCUCAACAUUAUAAACAUGCAGAUAUGGAAUAAGGCUGCUAUCACCAAGCUACUGUGUGAUUUGGCUAGGAAGAAAGAUUGUGGAUCAAGUGGAUACACUACUAUUAUAUUAAGAUACUGUGGGAUUUGGCUAGGAAGAAAGAUUGUUUGUUGAUCAAGUGGAUACGCUACUAUUAUAUUAACUGUGACAUUGCUACAAUGCCCAUUCCCAAGGCAGCAUCUUGGGUGGUGAGAAAAUAAUAGAGAGCCGAAUUACUCUUCUGAAUAUUCAACAACUGCAAGGUGAUCUCGUGCUUAGAUUGGAUGGACUGUGCAGGCUAGGCAAGUUCCAUAUUCAGAAACUGUACCAUGUUAUGCUCCCUAUCUUUCCUAGGGUGGAAUGGAAGAAUCUGCUGUUGACAUCUAAUGUUCUUCCUAAGGCUGUUGCUGCUACUGCCUUUGUUACCACAGUUGCACUCAUUUGGAGAAAUAGAAACUAUAUCAGAUUUGAGGGGAAACCAUUAGAGGAAAUUCAGUUCUGUCGCGAGGUUGCAUUGCUCAUUCAUAUUCGGGGCAGAAACUAUAAGCAUUGGCAAACGGGACUGCGACAACUUAACCAUUACCCUUAGCCUUAGAUGUAAAUUCUUGUAUUGUUGCAUUGCUCAUUCAUAUUUGGGGCAGAAACUGUAAGCGUUGGCAAACGGGACUGCGACAACUUAACCAUUACCCUUAACCUUAGAUGUAAAUUCUUGUAUUAGCAUAGUAUUGAACUGUAAAGUAGUAGUUAGUCCAUACUACUACUAUGAACUCUCCAUUGUAUUUUUUUUAUAUCAAUGAAAGCUAAAUGUUAAACAUAAAAAAAUAAAUAAAUAAAUAAUUAAAUAUAACUAAUCAUGCUGAUUUGUGUUUUUCUUUGGGUGAGACUUGACAGGCUAUCCAUAGAUGUUUUGUAUUUUGGAUUGUGUCUCCCUUAUGGUAGUUAUUUAUGGUAGUUACUGUAUGAUAUUAUUGCAUGCUAUUUUAUUUAAGGUUCUUAUGUUUAGAUAAUUAUUUAUGCUAUUUCUGCUGGAGUUACUAAUGCUCUUUUGUUUUUGUUUUUGUUUUUGCUUUUGUUUUGUAUUUUGGAUUGUGUCUCCCUUAUGGUAGUUAUUUAUGGUAGUUACUGUAUGAUAUUAUUACAUGUUAUUUAUUUAUGGUUCUUAUGUUUAGAUAGUUACUUAUGAUAUUUCUGCUGGAUUUACUAAUGCUCUUUUGUUUUUGUUUUUGUAUUUGUUUUUCUUUUUGUUUUUGUAUUUGUUUUUGUUUUUCCUCUCCUUCACUGAGCCGAGGGUCGAUUGGAAACAGCCUCUCUGCCUUUUCGGGUAGGGGUACGGCUCGUUUACAUAAUACCCUCCUCAGACCCCACUUUGUGGGACAUUACUGGGUAGUUGUUGUUGUUGUUGUUUUGGCUAGAAAAGAAGAAGAAUAACUUAUGUAAAUUGUUUCACUUCAAAAAGUUCUCUUAACAUUUUCAAAAUCACUACCUUGACUAUCUUGUCCCUCAUUCCCAUGAGUUUCUUACAAACCGAUAGAGUUGGGACAAUUAAUCCAUUUUAGUAACACACCCUUGUUUAAACGAAUUAGAAUUAUGACAAAUAAUCUUGAUCUAACACGGAAAAUCCGAAAUGCCAUCAAAUAUUCAAACUAAAGCAUAUUAAACAACUCAAACACUUAUCAAAUCUGAAUAUAACUCAAAUCGUAGCCGGCUUAUACUGCUAUGGAUUAACGCGUAUACUCAGACGAUCAGAUGCCAAAUCAAAAUUUCAACAGCCCUUCCAAGGGUUCUACCUACUAUAAGAAAACUAAGAUAGAAUAGUGGAAAACAAACCUGUUGAGGAAAAUCCUUUAAUAAUAAUAGAAUGUAGCCAGCAAAUACAAGCUUGAGUUCACAUCCAUUCCAAGAGAAAGAAUCGGAAACUCAGGAGCUCGAUGGCAACAAAACAUAGUCAAACAUGAGGAGCUCAGCAUUAUGAAUCCGCCAAAAAAUCAGCAACAAUGAAUCGGCAAAUUUGAGCCUCUACGGCUUGUGAAAAUCUAGAGGAGAAGGAAUUCAUUUUUUGAAAUUGUAUUUCAUCGACAAAAAAAAAUCAGUUUAUCUUGCUAUUAUUUGUAGUUUUUGAUUUUCAGAUCUUCAGCUAAAAAAAACAAACAAUACUUCGACUGGGUCCGGAUGGUAAUUUGCGGCAGUUUGUUUUUAGAGCUGAACAAACAGCUUUUCACAGCUGAACGGGCUGUGUUGGGAGAUGAAGAAGCAGUAGCGGCUCUUUUGUUCUUGUGAGUGAGUUCUCAUUUGAGUGAGCUGAGCGAAGGAAGAAGAAACCUAAACGGUGCUAUAGUUCAGCUAGGUUGGGAGAUGAUGAGGGAAUGAGAAGAAGGGGAAAAGCUGC
RNAcentral lists this long non-coding RNA (10758 nucleotides) under Nicotiana benthamiana. RNAcentral describes it as "long non-coding RNA (NBEN_LNC035144)". Lineage: Eukaryota; Viridiplantae; Streptophyta; Magnoliopsida; Solanales; Solanaceae. The record is from RNAcentral.